ACAAUGGUGGGGCCUCCCCCAUGAGAGGAGCCUCCUGAGUGCGUGCUCUCUGCUCUGCAUGGGAGGACGCAGUGGGAGGUGGCCAUCUGUAAGCGGGGACGACAGCCCUCGCCAGAACCCUGCCAUGCUGGCUCCCUGAGCUUGGACUUCCAGCCUCCAGAAUGGGAGGGAUGAAUGUCCAGUGUUGAAGCCUAUCGGGAUUUAUUAUGGCGGUCACAAUGACAGCGACAGUGGCUCUGGACAAGCCUCAUCUCCCGCCUGAACUGCACACUCUCCUCUGAAGCGAGCACACCGGCCAGAGUGCAGGGGCUGGCUGGGGAGGAGACCUGCCCCUCCCGAGGGCAGAAGAGGUGUCACUAGCUUUAGGACAGCGGGACUGGCCACAGAAUUCGAUGCAUGGUAGAGGAACCUUUCUCACCAAGUGAGCUGUGCAGUUGGGGCAGUUCUGCAGGUUGGGGAGCCUGCAGGUGGGGCACGUCCAGUAACGGCCACUCCCUCGGUGCCGCCGAGCAGCCAUUCCCCCUUCGUCGGUGGAUAAAGCCUCAGUGAAAGGAACCUGCCAGGCUGCUGCUGAAGGCUCCUGAUUAGACGGGCAGGGCACCCUGUGGCCAACAUCCUCCUGCAGGCUUCGUGAGGACCACCGACGGGGGAGGUCAGGGGACGCUCGACCUGGCUGCAGGAGGUCACGCACACGCCCAGUGUAGACUUUGGAGGCUGAGCACGCACACG
Tupaia belangeri chinensis (Chinese tree shrew) is the source of this 729-nucleotide long non-coding RNA. RefSeq lists it as uncharacterized. The record is from RefSeq and is a predicted model, not a curated record. NCBI's taxonomy places the organism in Eukaryota, Metazoa, Chordata, Mammalia, Scandentia, Tupaiidae. The transcript has 4 exons.